AUCUUUUCGGUGUUUGGCACAAAAGGAUUUGGGCCUUUUAGAGAGGGGUUCCUCAAAAGAUA
RNAcentral lists this transfer RNA (62 nucleotides) under Micromelo undatus (miniature melo). Its description in RNAcentral is "Micromelo undata (miniature melo) tRNA-Gln". The record is from RNAcentral. Lineage: Eukaryota; Metazoa; Mollusca; Gastropoda; Aplustridae.